UAUAUUAGAAGAUCAAAGACCUUUCUUCGCCGCAAGGCAUACCAGCAGGAGUACUAGUUUUUGCGGGGAAAUCCCGGAUUCAGCAACAGGAUGAACCCAGCGAAAGACACUGCUGAAAGCCCAAUCUUUUACGCACCCGAUUGCAGCGCUGCUUGGCACAGUUUACGGCACUUGUGUUACUGACUAACUAAGAAGAGGGGGAGCCAUGCUGCUGUAGAGCCAGUGGGGAGGUGGUUUUGGAUCUAGUAUAAAAAGGGCUCGAAAAUCAGCCAAUAUUAUCACAACUUUUUGAACAGUUGAACUCGUUUAGCCUUCCUUACAGAAAAAAAUGGCCAAAUCGCUUCUGAUGAUUUUGAUGGUGUCUUUGGUGCUGCUGGCAAUUGUCAACGAGUUCGGUGGACUCGUCGAGGGAUGUAACUGCUGUGAAAAUGGCGAUUUAUCCCAAGGCAACUGUUGUCGUUGGCGUUGCGAUGGUGGAGGAUGUGGCUGCAGACCUUUCUUUGCUCUUCACUGCGGUGCACCCGACAGGUGUGGUGCAGAAUCACCCUAACCGAAAUAGUAGUUCAUCACUUGUUUUACAUGCAACCGAACUGGACCGAAUCUGUUAUCCGACCGAGAUUAUCCGAAACAACUGCAGAAUUUAAUCAAAAAAUGGGGAA
Daphnia pulicaria is the source of this 659-nucleotide long non-coding RNA. RefSeq lists it as uncharacterized. NCBI's taxonomy places the organism in Eukaryota, Metazoa, Arthropoda, Branchiopoda, Diplostraca, Daphniidae. The record is from RefSeq and is a predicted model, not a curated record. The transcript is spliced from 3 exons.